Molecule: non-coding RNA, 726 nt
Organism: Mus caroli (Ryukyu mouse)
Lineage: Eukaryota; Metazoa; Chordata; Mammalia; Rodentia; Muridae
Source: RefSeq, a predicted model, not a curated record
AUGCGCAAGAGCGCGCCUCAGCAGCUGAGGGGCGGAGCUGGAGGCCCGACGCGCCGGAAAGGGAGGUCGUUUGGUGUGAAUGGAUUUGGCCAUAUUGGGCACCUGGUUACCAGGGCUGCCUUCUGUGCUGCACUUGGCAAAGUAAAGAUUGUUGCCAUCAACAACCCCUUUAUUGACCUCAACUACAUGGUCUACAUGUUCCAGGAUGACUCCACCCAUGGCAAAUUCAACGGCACAGUCAAGGCUGAGAAUGGGAAGCUUGUCAUCAACGGGAAGCCCAUCACCAUCUUCCAAAAGCAAGAUCCCACUAACAUCAAAUGGGGUGAUGUCGGUGCUGAGUAUGUCGUGGAGUCUACUGGCGUCUUCACCACCAUGGAGAAGGCCGGGGCCCACUUGAAGGGUGGGGCCAAAAGGGUCAUCAUCUCCUCCCCUUCUGCCGAUGCCCCCAUGUUUGUGAACCAUGAAAAAUAUGACAACUCACUCAAGAUUGUCAGCAAUGCAUUCUGCACCACCAACUGCUUAAACCACCCCCCCCCCNCCCNGGCCAAGGUCAUCCGUGACAAAUUUUGCAUCGUGGAAGGGCUCAUGACCACAGUCUAUGCCAUCACUGCCACUCAGAAGACUGUGGAUGGCCCCUCUGAAAAGCUGUGGCUUGAUGUCCUCCCUGCUCCCUUCAAUGACAACUUUGUAAAGCUCAUCUUCUGCUAUGGCAAUGAACACAGCUAA